This 211-nucleotide unclassified non-coding RNA is filed under the name Hevea brasiliensis (rubber tree). The record is from RNAcentral. Lineage: Eukaryota; Viridiplantae; Streptophyta; Magnoliopsida; Malpighiales; Euphorbiaceae.
GUUUCAUAUCCAUGCAGCCUCCUCACUGUGUCCUUUGCUGCCUUUCCGGCUUAUGUGUGGAUUUAUCUCAAAACAGUAAUUGAAUGUGAUCAUUUCUGAAAGCCAUCAAAGUUUUGUAGUAUUGUGUAUUCUGCUAUUUUUGGUAAUCAGGUAUGAGGGUAUUUUGCUAAGUGUGAUGUGAAACCUUUUGUUGGCAGUUAUAACAGAGGCU